RNAcentral lists this ribosomal RNA (446 nucleotides) under uncultured bacterium. RNAcentral describes it as "partial 16S ribosomal RNA". It matches the Rfam family "Bacterial small subunit ribosomal RNA", at positions 338 to 795 of the family's 1533-position model. The record is from RNAcentral.
CCUACGGGUGGCAGCAGUCGAGAAUCAUUCACAAUGGGGGAAACCCUGAUGGUGCGACGCCGCGUGGGGGAAUGAAGGUCUUCGGUUUGUAAACUCCUGUCAUGUGGGAGCAAAUUAAAAAGAUAGUACCACAAGAGGAAGAGACGGCUAACUCUGUGCCAGCAGCCGCGGUACUACAGAGGUCUCAAGCGUUGUUCGGAAUCACUGGGCGUAAAGCGUGCGUAGGCUGUUUCGUAAGUCGGAUGUGAAAGGCGCGGGCUCAACCCGCGGACGGCACAUGACACUGUGAGACUAGAGUGAUGGAGAGGGAACCGGAACUCUAGGUGUAGCAGUGAAAUGCGUAGAUAUAGAGAGGAACACUAGUGGCGAAGGCGGGUUCCUGGACAUUAACUGACGCUGAGGCACGAAGGCCAGGGGAGCGAAAGGGAUUAGAUACCCCUGUAGUC